GGUUGCUAACUCAACGGUAGAGUACUCGGCUUUUAAG
This 37-nucleotide transfer RNA is filed under the name Rhaphiolepis philippinensis. RNAcentral's name for it is "tRNA-Lys". Lineage: Eukaryota; Viridiplantae; Streptophyta; Magnoliopsida; Rosales; Rosaceae. The record is from RNAcentral.